Molecule: non-coding RNA, 1360 nt
Organism: Peromyscus maniculatus bairdii (prairie deer mouse)
Lineage: Eukaryota; Metazoa; Chordata; Mammalia; Rodentia; Cricetidae
Source: RefSeq, a predicted model, not a curated record
GCAGCCGUUGCCGGGCCUCGGUGUGUGCGAAGUCGGGGCACUUCACAACUGUGCCCUGUUUAAACAGGAAAAGCAUGCACCAUUUUGUCCAGGAGGGAGGAGGAGGCAGCCUGAAGCCUCCCUCUUUGGUGCGGCCUCCAGGGGUGCAGACCAACAAAGAAGACAUUAAAACCUGCGACCAAAGAGGGAAGGAAAUGGCUCCCCUUGGUCUUCCCAGUCCUUCGGCUCCAAGGUGGUGGUUAGUGGUCCCAGAAAAGAGUUCACAGAGACGGUGUCUGGGCCCGGCGGCACCCUGCAGGAUGAUGCCACGCAGUACCGAAGGCGACUCGGGAAACCUCUUGCUCGCGAGACAGGGAACGCGGUGGGAUGGUGUGUAACUGUAGCGCUGCACAUCUGAGCCAGCACCACAUUGUGCCAUGCAGACAGAUGAACACGGCGAGGUGGGGACCACAGCGGGAGAGGAUAGGGCUAAUCGGAGGGACAGUGGCAGGACCUCGGGCUCCCGGCUCUGGCCGUCCCUUCCCUCUUCCGAAGGCUUCGGGUUAGUCAAGGCCUUCUCUAGGGAGGAGAAGGAUGGAUUUGAGCCCCUCGGUCAGUAAUUCCCACUGCCAGAGCGAAUCAAGAAACAGGCCUUGGGGCCGGAGAGACGGUUCAGUGGUUAGUAACACUUGCUGCUCUUCCAGAAGACUGGAGUUUGGCUGGCAAUCACCUCUAACUCCGCUUCCAAGGCAUCUGGCUCCCUCUUCUGGCCUCCGCCAGCACUUGCCUGCUUGUGGCCUUCACUCACAUGGACACAUACACUUGAGUAAAACAGGAGAAGAUGGCCCUACCUCAAGAAAAAAGGAAUGCAUCUGAAUUACCACCCAUCCACUCUUUCCUGAUCAGCAUGCACCUUCUGCGCACCAGUCCUGAGGUGGACAGAGUUUGUACUUACAUCUUCCCGAGUGAAGACCCUUCCCAACAUUCCUAGGGUGGUGGCCAUCACCAUCCCUACUAACAACACUGCCUGUAGCAGGAAAAGCUGCCGCUGGAUUUUGAGUCGCAGGUGAACGGGGAACUUUUUUCUCAAGACAAAAAUAAAUUGAACCUACAGCGUAGGAGAAAAGGGAGUGACCGGCGGGAUCAGUGUGCGCUGGUGAGCUUGGAGACUCUGGGAGAAGUCAUUAUGCAGCUAGCCUGGAGAGCUCUGAGCUAGAAGGCAGGAGAUGUAGCUGUUGUUUCUGUUUCUAAAACCUAAUUGCAUAACAAAAUCUAUCGCUUUGUACACUAAGUUAAAAAUGUUAAAGGUGGGGGGUGGGGGGCUGGAGAGAAGACUCAGUUAAGAGCACUGACUUCUUCCAGAGAACCGAGGUUUGAUUUC